RNAcentral lists this long non-coding RNA (1224 nucleotides) under Oryzias javanicus (javanese ricefish). Its description in RNAcentral is "lncRNA (ENSOJAG00000014498.1)". Lineage: Eukaryota; Metazoa; Chordata; Actinopteri; Beloniformes; Adrianichthyidae. The record is from RNAcentral.
UCACCUCUUCCUGUCCAUCUACAGUUGUUUUCUCUGGGCUCCUCUUAUCACAUCCAUCCCCAGGAAAGCCUCUGAUGUCUGCGGAGCGUUUCUCUGCUCACACAGAGCCUCCUCUGUGCUGUGAAACUGGAGAGGUGAGCAUUCCUCUCUUCAGGCCUAACACCCAGUGACCGUGCUGUUGCAGUCUUAAUCCAGGUUCCCGCUGGGAGUGCAUACUGACGCGCAGGUCCGAGGUAGAUUCCUCCCUUCCUCCUUCCUCUAAAGUGGACAAUCGGGGUCUUUGUGAACCCGGCGGGUGCCAGCAGGCUGAUUGUGGAGCAGCUCUCAGCUCCACAGUCCAUCCAGACUGCUGCUCUGACCACUGCUGGAGGACCGGAGCUGGGUUUUUUAGAUCCUCAUCGGACUAUCAAGAGUUUUUUCAUGGAUUAUGGAAGUCUCUGGAUUAAUUGGCUGGAGGGUUGCCCCCAUAAAGGGGCUCCACGGGCUCCAGCAGGUCCAACAGGUCCAGCAGCACCAGGCUCUCCCUUGUCUCCAGGUGCUCCAGCAGGUCCAGGAAGUCCAAUAGGUCCAGUCAAGCCACGGGGGCCAUCUUUUCCUGGAGCUCCAUCAGCUCCCUUAGCUCCUUGAUCACCCUAGAUUGUGGUGAGACAAAGGCAGGUCAGUUACCUAUAGAUUGUCAGGAACAUUGAUGGUCCAUUCAAAUUAUUUGACUAUUCAAAACCCAUUUUUCAUACAUUACAGUACUGAAAUAUAGAGCAGGGAAACUCACCCUGUCUCCCCUCAGACCAGGAAGUCCAGCAGCACCACGCUCUCCAGGCAUGCCCUGCAGUCCAGGAGGACCCUGAGCUCCAGGAGCACCAGGGGCUCCAGCAUCACCCUAACAAACCAAAAGAAUGUCAGAAACUAUUCUGUUUCCAAAUACAGUGAAUUAGUUAGAAAUUCCUUAAUCCUUUUGAUGUGUGAAGCUGACCUUGGCACCUUCGUUUCCAGCAGAACCGGGGGAUCCACGGGCUCCAGCAGGUCCAAGAGGGCCAGGUACUCCACGCUCACCGGGGAAGCCUCUGUCGCCCUGAGGGGAGAGGUUGCAGGAGGGUGAGUUCAUUAUUAUUCACACUCCAUGCGACUCAUUGCAGUUGUCUAGAUUGAUACAGUUGAUUUAUUAAUAGAAAGCUUACUUUGAGUUAAAAUGCUGAAUGUUUGGACAGAAUUUUUGUUUUUACAUCC